UUGUAAUGCAGAGUGAAACGGGUCUUUUAAUAGUCUCAGAUGAAACAUUCUGGAAUAGGAAGCUGGGAGGUUGUGAAGGGGGCGUUGAGAGUUUCCUCUCUGAAGUUCCUGAGCUGGCUUCCGAGGUACAGAGGAAUGAUUCCCAGCUGCCCUGAAAGCUCCAAGCUCCCUCCCUCCUCUGCUGGACGAAGGCAAUGGCUUCCGAGUUCUGCAAAGGAUCCCAGCCACGCUGUGUUUUAUCCUUGCAACCAGUUGCAGAUCACUUUCCUGUGCACGUGUCUGUCUUCCGCCCUGUUCUCAUUCUCCCUGCAUUCCCUGCCGUGGCAGCAUUCAUAGUGCCGAAUAAAUACUGUGGACCAUCUUGGUGAGUUGCUGAAUUUUUACUGACUUCAUGCAUUUUUGUCAAGCACGCCAGAGUAACCAUUGCAGGUAGGUCC
RNAcentral lists this long non-coding RNA (437 nucleotides) under Chinchilla lanigera (long-tailed chinchilla). RNAcentral describes it as "lncRNA (ENSCLAG00000023342.1)". The record is from RNAcentral. Lineage: Eukaryota; Metazoa; Chordata; Mammalia; Rodentia; Chinchillidae.